Long non-coding RNA from Loxodonta africana (African savanna elephant), 923 nucleotides. RefSeq lists it as uncharacterized. NCBI's taxonomy places the organism in Eukaryota, Metazoa, Chordata, Mammalia, Proboscidea, Elephantidae. The record is from RefSeq and is a predicted model, not a curated record. The transcript has 3 exons.
AGACAGAUAUUAGAUGCAUAAAUAUAUAAUGGGAGGUAAUAAGUGCAAAGAAGGAAAAUAACUCAGAGGAUUCAUAAGGCUAUUUCAGAUGGAGUAAUUGAGCAGGCACAACCUUUUCGAACAAGUGACAUUUGAACAGAGGCCUGAGUGAGGUGGAGUAGGCCAAGUGGUUAUCUGAGGGAAGAGCCUCCCAGGCUAAAGGAAUUGCAGAUGCAAAGGCCUGGAGGCUGUCUGUGUGGAUCUUCUCUUGGCUGUGACACCAGGAUAGGCAGAGGUAAGAGAUGAUACAUACCAGGUAAUGUUCUAGGGUCUAAGUGUAAAUCCAACAUUUAUCUCUUCUCUGCCUAGCCCUGUCUUUAGCUUCCAAAGAUAUCUUUAUAGAAAUCCACCUGCCAAGGCCUGUGGGGCCUGUGGGGAGGCUGUAGGUCGUCCAGAUUCAGUACCCCUGGCUCCGAAAACAGAAGUUCACUUCACUGUCUGGGCUGGUGCUGUCUUUCCGCAGAUUAUUGUCCUCCCUCUCUGGCUGAUGGUGACCUCACAACCCUGCCUUUGCUUGUAUCAAACACCCUACAUCUCCAGCUGAACAUCCCCACCAAGACAUCAAAGUUAAAAUAAAAAACAGCAAUCCGUUCAGAGAGGAAGCCCAAGCCUUGGUGAUCCAGUUACCAGCCAGUUCCUGUUCCCAGCCAGGCUGUUGUGCCCCCGACUCGUUUUCUAGGCUAACAAAUGGAACAAAGCUUCCAGGUGUGUUUUGCUCAUCUUCAGGGUCAACAAAUAAAAAGUUUCCAGUGUCUGCAUACUCAGUGGUCAUUGUCAUACCUCAAGAAGCCAAUCUGAGACAGCCUGAUGUAACAAGAUUUUCCUCGUUUCCUGAGAAUGGCUCUGUUCUAGCAUUUUGGCAAAAUCCAGGAGGUAAGAUGUCA